GUAGGUGGCAAGCGUUGUCCGGAAUUAUUGGGCGUAAAGCGCGCGCAGGUGGUUCUUUAAGUCUGAUGUGAAAGCCCCCGGCUCAACCGGGGAGGGUCAUUGGAAACUGGGGAACUUGAGUGCAGGAGAGGAAAGUGGAAUUCCACGUGUAGCGGUGAAAUGCGUAGAUAUGUGGAGGAACACCAGUGGCGAAGGCGACUUUCUGGCCUGUAACUGACACUGAGGCGCGAAAGCGUGGGGAGCAAACAGGGAUUAGAUACCCUGGUAGUCCACGCCGUAAACGAUGAGUGCUAAGUGUUGGGGGGGUUUACCCGCCCCGUCAGUGCUGCAGCUAACGCAUUAAGCACUCCGCCUGGGGAGUACGGUCGCAAGACUG
Molecule: ribosomal RNA, 376 nt
Filed under: uncultured organism
Description: partial 16S ribosomal RNA
Rfam family: Bacterial small subunit ribosomal RNA
Source: RNAcentral